This 502-nucleotide ribosomal RNA is filed under the name uncultured bacterium. Its description in RNAcentral is "partial 16S ribosomal RNA". It matches the Rfam family "Bacterial small subunit ribosomal RNA", at positions 30 to 523 of the family's 1533-position model. The record is from RNAcentral.
AUUGAACGCUGGCGGCAGGCUUAACACAUGCAAGUCGAGCGGGGUGAUGGUGCUUGCACUAUCACUUAGCGGCGGACGGGUGAGUAAUGCUUAGGAAUCUGCCUAUUAGUGGGGGACAACAUCUCGAAAGGGAUGCUAAUACCGCAUACGUCCUACGGGAGAAAGCAGGGGAUCACUUGUGACCUUGCGCUAAUAGAUGAGCCUAAGUCGGAUUAGCUAGUUGGUGGGGUAAAGGCCUACCAAGGCGACGAUCUGUAGCGGGUCUGAGAGGAUGAUCCGCCACACUGGACUGAGACACGGCCCAGACCCCUACGGGAGGCAGCAGUGGGGAAUAUUGGACAAUGGGGGGAACCCUGAUCCAGCCAUGCCGCGUGUGUGAAGAAGGCCUUAUGGUUGUAAAGCACUUUAAGCGAGGAGGAGGCUCUUUUGGUUAAUACCCAAGAUGAGUGGACGUUACUCGCAGAAUAAGCACCGGCUAACUCUGUGCCAGCAGCCGCAGUAA